GGAGAGGUGGCUGAGUGGUCGAAAGCGCACGAUUGGAAUUCGUGUAUACGUUAAUAGCGUAUCGAGGGUUCGAAUCCCUCUCUCUCCGCCA
Molecule: transfer RNA, 91 nt
Filed under: Gammaproteobacteria bacterium
Lineage: Bacteria; Pseudomonadati; Pseudomonadota; Gammaproteobacteria
Description: tRNA-Ser
Rfam family: tRNA
About the family: Transfer RNA (tRNA) molecules are approximately 80 nucleotides in length. Their secondary structure includes four short double-helical elements and three loops (D, anti-codon, and T loops). Further hydrogen bonds mediate the characteristic L-shaped molecular structure. tRNAs have two regions of fundamental functional importance: the anti-codon, which is responsible for specific mRNA codon recognition, and the 3' end, to which the tRNAs corresponding amino acid is attached (by aminoacyl-tRNA synthetases). tRNAs cope with the degeneracy of the genetic code in two manners: having more than one tRNA (with a specific anti-codon) for a particular amino acid; and 'wobble' base-pairing, i.e. permitting non-standard base-pairing at the 3rd anti-codon position.
Source: RNAcentral